UGAAAUUUUAACGGCCGCAGUAUCUUAACUGUGCUAAGGUAGCAUAAUCAUUAGUUCCUUAAUUAGGAACUCGUAUAAACGAUUCGACGAGAUUCUUACUUUCUUAAAAAUUUUUAAAAUUUCUUUAAAGGUAAAAAAGCCUUUAUAUUUCAGAUGGACGACAAGACCCUAUAAAACUUUACUCUAAAAAGAUCUAUCUUCUUCAGAUAAUUUUAACUUCUUCCUAGAGUUUUGCUGGGGCGGCAUUUUCUAACAAAAACAGAUUUUAACCAAACAAAUUAUUUGACUCUUACCAACACUUCAUGUACUUAAGACCAAGUUACUUUAGGGAUAACAGCGCAAUGUAUUUUUAGAGCCCUUAUCGACAAACACGUUUACGACCUCGAUGUUGAAUUGAAAUUUCUA
This 405-nucleotide ribosomal RNA is filed under the name Amphoroidea typa. RNAcentral describes it as "partial 16S ribosomal RNA". It matches the Rfam family "Bacterial large subunit ribosomal RNA", at positions 1913 to 2548 of the family's 2925-position model. The record is from RNAcentral. Lineage: Eukaryota; Metazoa; Arthropoda; Malacostraca; Isopoda; Sphaeromatidae.